Molecule: ribosomal RNA, 549 nt
Filed under: uncultured bacterium
Lineage: Bacteria
Description: bacterial SSU rRNA
Rfam family: Bacterial small subunit ribosomal RNA
Source: RNAcentral
UGGGGAAUAUUGGACAAUGGGCGAAAGCCUGAUCCAGCCAUGCCGCGUGUGUGAAGAAGGCCUUUUGGUUGUAAAGCACUUUAAGUGGGGAGGAAAAGCUUAUGGUUAAUACCCAUAAGCCCUGACGUUACCCACAGAAUAAGCACCGGCUAACUCUGUGCCAGCAGCCGCGGUAGUACAGAGGGUGCAAGCGUUAAUCGGAAUUACUGGGCGUAAAGCGCGCGUAGGUGGUUAUUUAAGUCAGAUGUGAAAGCCCCGGGCUUAACCUGGGAACUGCAUCUGAUACUGGAUAACUAGAGUAGGUGGGAGGGGAGUAGAAUUCCAGGUGUAGCGGUGAAAUGCGUAGAGAUCUGGAGGAAUACCGAUGGCGAAGGCAGCUCCCUGGCAUCAUACUGACACUGAGGUGCGAAAGCGUGGGUAGCAAACAGGAUUAGAUACCCUGGUAGUCCACGCCGUAAACGAUGUCUACCAGUCGUUGGGUCUUUUAAAGACUUAGUGACGCAGUUAACGCAAUAAGUAGACCGCCUGGGGAGUACGGCCGCAAGGUUA